AAACUCAAGGUAUUCAGUUGCAAGCUCAAGAUGCUGUAAUAAACUCUUUAAAAGAGCAAGUAGCAUUUUUGAUGAGUCAGAGACAUAGUUCUAGUGGUUUGCAGGCGACAGAUGGAUCUAGUGGCAUUCCGGACCAAGCUUCUCUACAAACACAUCAAAGAUCCUCUUUUGGGAGUCAUGAAAUGCAACCUUCUAAUCGAGGAAAUAAGAUAAUA
Camellia sinensis is the source of this 215-nucleotide non-coding RNA. The record is from RefSeq and is a predicted model, not a curated record. NCBI's taxonomy places the organism in Eukaryota, Viridiplantae, Streptophyta, Magnoliopsida, Ericales, Theaceae.